AAAGACCCUAUGAAGCUUUACUGUAACUUGAAAUUGAAGUUGGACUUUACUUGCGCAGUAUAGGUGGGAGGCGUUGAUAAUAUUCUUGUGGGAAUAUUGGAGCCAUCAGUGAGAUACCACUCUGGUAAUGUUAGAUUUCUAACUUUGUAUCAUUAUCUGGUCAAAGAACAGUUUCAGGCGGGCAGUUUGACUGGGGCGGUCGCCUCCUAAACGGUAACGGAGGCGCACAAAGGUUUCCUCUGAACGGGUAGAAAUCGUAUCUAGAGUGUAAAGGCAUAAGGAAGCUUGACUGUGAGACCUACAAGUCGAGCAGGGACGAAAGUCGGUCUUAGUGAUCUGACGGUGCUGAGUGGAAAGGCCGUCACUCAACGGAUAAAAGUUACUCUAGGGAUAACAGGCUGA
Molecule: ribosomal RNA, 402 nt
Filed under: Placoneis elginensis
Lineage: Eukaryota; Bacillariophyta; Bacillariophyceae; Cymbellales; Cymbellaceae
Description: partial large subunit ribosomal RNA
Rfam family: Bacterial large subunit ribosomal RNA
Source: RNAcentral